Molecule: ribosomal RNA, 341 nt
Filed under: uncultured Bacillota bacterium
Lineage: Bacteria; Bacillati; Bacillota
Description: bacterial SSU rRNA
Rfam family: Bacterial small subunit ribosomal RNA
Source: RNAcentral
GAUGAACGCUGGCGGCGUGCCUAACACAUGCAAGUCGAACGGAGUUUAUAAGAUGAAGUUUUCGGAUGGAUUCUUAUAAACUUAGUGGCGGACGGGUGAGUAACGCGUGGGUAACCUGCCUCAUACAGGGGGAUAACAGUUGGAAACGACUGCUAAAACCGCAUAACAUUGCGACGGCGCAUGCCGAUGCAAUUUAAAUAUUUAUAGGUAUGAGAUGGGCCCGCGUCUGAUUAGCUAGUUGGUGAGGUAAUGGCUCACCAAGGCGACGAUCAGUAGCCGGCUUGAGAGAGUGACCGGCCACAUUGGGACUGAGACACGGCCCAAACUCCUACGGGUGGCUG